Long non-coding RNA from Scaptodrosophila lebanonensis, 227 nucleotides. RefSeq lists it as uncharacterized. The record is from RefSeq and is a predicted model, not a curated record. The transcript has 3 exons. Lineage: Eukaryota; Metazoa; Arthropoda; Insecta; Diptera; Drosophilidae.
AAAAAUGUUUUACUUAAUAAAGUGCGGAAAGUUGUACGUUUUUGAGAAAAAGAAAUGUAAAAUAAUAUCAAAAAACAUUUGUUUAACAAAAAUAAAUGGAGCUACUUUUGAAGCAGAAAUUAUUAAUUCCAGUGAAUCAAAAGAACUUCUCGAAGGCCUAUGCAAAAAGAUGAAUGAGGCGUUAUACAAGGCCAAGAGCAAAACCUCUGAUGGUGGCGUUAACAAAG